This 73-nucleotide transfer RNA is filed under the name Camelus bactrianus (Bactrian camel). It matches the Rfam family "tRNA". From Rfam's summary of the family: Transfer RNA (tRNA) molecules are approximately 80 nucleotides in length. Their secondary structure includes four short double-helical elements and three loops (D, anti-codon, and T loops). The record is from Rfam by way of RNAcentral. RNAcentral also lists the same sequence under 2 other names. Lineage: Eukaryota; Metazoa; Chordata; Mammalia; Artiodactyla; Camelidae.
GAGGGUAUAGCUCAAAUGGUAGAGUGCAUGCUUAGCACGCAUGAGGUCCUAGGUUCAAUCCCCAGUACCUCCA